Molecule: ribosomal RNA, 497 nt
Filed under: uncultured bacterium
Lineage: Bacteria
Description: partial 16S ribosomal RNA
Rfam family: Bacterial small subunit ribosomal RNA
Source: RNAcentral
GAUGAACGCUGGCGGCGUGCCUAAUACAUGCAAGUCGAGCGGACGGACGAGACGCUUGCUUCUCUGAUGUUAGCGGCGGACGGGUGAGUAACGCGUGGAUCACCUACCUAUAAGACUGGGAUAACUUCGGGACACCGGAGCCAAUACCGGAUAAUAUCUUGAACCGCAUGGUUGAAAAGUGAAUGACGGUCUUGCUGUCACUUCUAGAUGGAUCCGCGCUGCUUUAGCUAGUUGGUAAGGUAACGGCUUACCAAGGCAACGAUGCAUAGCCGACCUGAGAGGGGGAUCGGCCACACGGGAACUGAGACACGGUCCAGGGUCCUGCGGGAGGCAGCAGUAGGGAAUCGGACGCAAUGGGCGGAAGCCUGACGGAGUGGCGCCAAGUGAGUGAUGAAGGUCUUCGGAUCGUAAAACUGUGUUACGGGUGAAGAACAGAUGUGGAAGGAACUGUGCACAGAGUGACGGUACCUGAUCAGAAAGCCCCGGCUAACUACGUG